CCAGAUCAGAACCAGAAGGUAUGACCUGUUAUGUUCUCUUGGUAAGUGCGCGAAUUUACCAAUUUUCCUGUCCUGUGUGGUGGUUAAUUUCUUUACUAUCAAAUCAGGAGAGACAAACUUAUCACACAAGUCAGAGUUAUACUUAAACUAAAUCUUUAAUCACAUAUUAAUAAGGGAGCAAGUCAAUACAACGCACACAUAUACAGUGAAUCGAUUGAGUGCUCUACGAUAAUAAUGGCUGGUCGACGAAUCACCCUCAGAUGAUUUGUUGAGAGCCCCGAGACAAAAGUACAAAGGUCUUUUAUAGCCAAGAUACACCCCUUUCAACCUACAUGACGAACACCAGAUGUAUAGAAUGGGUCACAAGGUUAAGAUUUGUAUGAAGGAUACAUUUUCAUUGUGUAGAGACCAGUGUCUGGCCCUCCAAAUCCAUACGGGAGCCAUGUCUCCCUGGUACCGUAUAGAACAGAAUACAUUAACUCAUGCUCUGGAAUGCGGUAUCCCUAAAGUCAUCGUAAAUCUCCUGUCAGUGUUAUCUCCCAGAGGCCCAUCCGCAGUAGAACACAUACAGAUGAGCGGUCUAACAACUCAUUAUUCUGUUGCAUUGGUCUGGAGCGGUCUGGAGCGGUCCAUCUUUGAGUGGAACGCCCCCUGGCUGUGGACCAGUGGUGAUGUUGAUGAGGUGGUGAAGUACAGUGAGUGGCACAGCUGCUUCCCCCUCAACCCCAUCAAUUACCACUGUGGUAAGAUGGUCCGGGUUGGUAACGGAGAACUGAAGUGGCUGGAUGCUUCCUGUCGUCAGGAAUUACCCUUCAUAUGUCAAGUAUAUGAUGUUUCAAGAGACCUCCACUAGAGGGCUCUCCAUGGCAGCCUGGACAGUCUGCAGACAGACACCACACUGAUCUACCAGAGAGACUACCACACUCAUGGUCUGGAAGGAACCUGCAAUUCAAUUCAUUAUAUUAUUACACCACUAUAACUACUAUUAUUAAUAUUACUAUUAUUACUAUUAUUAAUAUUAUAACUACUUUUCUUAUUAUUAUAAUAUUACUAUUACUACUACCUUUCUUAAUAUUAUCAUCUCUGUUACAUGAUAUUACUUCAUGAUACUGUAUGUACAUAGACUGACUCAUAAGCAUUGUUAUUUGACCUAUAAUUUACUGUAAUACUUUUAUUGUUUUAAAAUAGAGUAAAGAAAGGUAAAGUAA
RNAcentral lists this long non-coding RNA (1208 nucleotides) under Salmo salar (Atlantic salmon). Its description in RNAcentral is "lncRNA (ENSSSAG00000093851.1)". The record is from RNAcentral. Lineage: Eukaryota; Metazoa; Chordata; Actinopteri; Salmoniformes; Salmonidae.